This 253-nucleotide ribosomal RNA is filed under the name uncultured bacterium. RNAcentral's name for it is "partial 16S ribosomal RNA". It matches the Rfam family "Bacterial small subunit ribosomal RNA", at positions 524 to 776 of the family's 1533-position model. The record is from RNAcentral.
UACGUAGGGUGCGAGCGUUAAUCGGAAUUACUGGGCGUAAAGCGUGCGCAGGCGGUUGUGCAAGUCAGAUGUGAAAUCCCCGGGCUUAACCUGGGAACUGCAUUUGUGACUGCACGGCUGGAGUGCGGCAGAGGGGGAUGGAAUUCCGCGUGUAGCAGUGAAAUGCGUAGAUAUGCGGAGGAACACCGAUGGCGAAGGCAAUCCCCUGGGCCUGCACUGACGCUCAUGCACGAAAGCGUGGGGAGCAAACAGG